CCUUCGGGAGCUGACGAGUGGCGGACGGGUGAGUAAGGACUGGGAAACUGCCUGAUAGAGGGGGACAACAGCUGGAAACGGGUGGUAAUACCGCAUAAUACCUGAGGGUUAAAGACGCAAGUCGCUAUACAGAUGUGCCCAGUUGGGAUUAGCUAGUAGGUGAGGUAAAGGCUCACCUAGGCGAUGAUCUCUAGCUGGUCUGAGAGGAUGAUCAGCCACAUUGGGACUGAGAAACGGCCCAGACUCCUACGGGAGGCAGCAGUAGGGAAUAUUGGACAAUGGGGGGAACCCUGGAUGCAGCCAUGGCGCGUGUGUGAAGAAGGGCCUUCGGGUUGUAAAGCACUUUCAACAGGGGAGGGAAGAAUGAGGUUACCCUGAGAAGAAGCACCGGCUAACUCCGUGCCAGCAGCCGCGGUAAUACGGAGGGUGCAAGCGUUAAUCGGAAUAACUGGGCGUAAAGGGCAUGCAGGCGGGAUAAAGCAAGUAAGGUGUGAAAUACCCGGGCUCAACCUGGGAACUGCACUUUAAACUACGGAUCUAGAGUAUUGCAGGGGGAGAUGGAAUUCCAGGUGUAGCGGUGGAAUGCGUUAGAUAUCUGGAAGAACGCCGGAGGCGAAGGCGAUCUCCUGGCCAAAUACUGACGCUCAUAUGCGAAAGCGUGGGAAGCCAAACAGGAUUAGAUACCCUGGUAGUCCAUGCUGUAAACGUAUGUCAAUUAGAAGUCUGAACGAUAGUUUGGGUUUCAAAGCAAACGCAUUAAAUUGACCGCCUGGGGACUCACGGCCGCCAAGGUUAAAACUCAAAUGAAUUGACGGGGGCCCGCACAAGCGGUGGAGCAUGUGGUUUAAUUCGACGCAACCCGAAGAACCUUACCUGACCUUGACAUGCAUGGAAUCAC
This 898-nucleotide ribosomal RNA is filed under the name uncultured rumen bacterium. RNAcentral's name for it is "bacterial SSU rRNA". It matches the Rfam family "Bacterial small subunit ribosomal RNA", at positions 77 to 999 of the family's 1533-position model. The record is from RNAcentral.